This 863-nucleotide ribosomal RNA is filed under the name Tylos punctatus. RNAcentral's name for it is "partial 18S small subunit ribosomal RNA". It matches the Rfam family "Eukaryotic small subunit ribosomal RNA", at positions 460 to 873 of the family's 1831-position model. Lineage: Eukaryota; Metazoa; Arthropoda; Malacostraca; Isopoda; Tylidae. The record is from RNAcentral.
GGAGGUAGUGACGUGAAAUAACGAUGCGGGACUCUUCCGAGGCCUCGCAAUCGGAAUGAGUUAACUUUAAAUCCUUUCGACGAGGAUCGAUUGGAGGGCAAGUCUGGUGCCAGCAGCCGCGGUAAUUCCAGCUCCAAUAGCGUAUAUUAAAGUUGCUGCGGUUAAAAAGCUCGUAGUUGGAUCUCACGAUUCGAAAGACGGAGAGCGCCGUUGACGCAGUCGUGGUAGUAGUAGUACUACUACACCACGAAUCCACCUUCUCAUUCGUUUCGUUACGGUAGAAGGAGUAAUAAUAGUACGGGGAUGUCGAAUGCGCGAACAGGAUUAUGAAGACGGUACGAGUUGAUUUUCUGACGGUGGUGGCGGAGGCGGUCGUCGUUGCUGCUGCUGCUGCUGCUGUUGUUGCGGUGGUACGCUAGUGGCGAACGACCGUCGCCGCUACCGCUUCUACUACUUCGUUAAUCGUUGAUGUCCUCUUCGUUGCAUUGGCUAAUACCACUAUUCCUCUUCCUUCUUUCCAACGGACGAAAAAGAGAAGGCGAACGCCGAAGUGUCCCGGCGUAACUAAACAACCGUCCUUUUCGAUGAAAAAUAUUGUUCGGCCGGCCAGCGGCGUAGUAGUAGCCUCACCGGAAAGGGUGGUAGAAGGUGGUAUCAUUAUGGCAAUAAUAAUACAUCUUCCACCUUCGAUGGCGGUGGUGACUCUCGCGCGCUCGCGUUCGGUCGGCAACUUCACUUUGACAAAAUUAGAGUGCUCAGAGCGGGCAAGAUCUGAAGCCCGAAUGGAGGUGCAUAGAAUGAUCUAAGAUGACCUCGCGAUCUAAACGUUUGUCGGUUUAUGGGGUCGCGAGGUAAUGAUUAAA